This 253-nucleotide ribosomal RNA is filed under the name uncultured bacterium. RNAcentral's name for it is "partial 16S ribosomal RNA". It matches the Rfam family "Bacterial small subunit ribosomal RNA", at positions 524 to 776 of the family's 1533-position model. The record is from RNAcentral.
UACAGAGGUCUCAAGCGUUGUUCGGAUUCAUUGGGCGUAAAGGGUGCGUAGGCGGCGCGGUAAGUCGGGUGUGAAAUUUCGGAGCUUAACUCCGAAACUGCAUUUGAUACUGCCGUGCUUGAGGACUGGAGAGGAGACUGGAAUUUACGGUGUAGCGGUGAAAUGCGUAGAUAUCGUAAGGAAGACCAGUGGCGAAGGCGGGUCUCUGGACAGUUCCUGACGCUGAGGCACGAAGGCCAGGGGAGCAAACGGG